RNAcentral lists this ribosomal RNA (483 nucleotides) under uncultured bacterium. RNAcentral describes it as "partial 16S ribosomal RNA". It matches the Rfam family "Bacterial small subunit ribosomal RNA", at positions 30 to 506 of the family's 1533-position model. The record is from RNAcentral.
AUUGAACGCUGGCGGCAGGCCUAACACAUGCAAGUCGAGCGGAUGAAGGGAGCUUGCUCCUGGAUUCAGCGGCGGACGGGUGAGUAAUGCCUAGGAAUCUGCCUGGUAGUGGGGGAUAACGUCCGGAAACGGGCGCUAAUACCGCAUACGUCCUGAGGGAGAAAGUGGGGGAUCUUCGGACCUCACGCUAUCAGAUGAGCCUAGGUCGGAUUAGCUAGUUGGUGGGGUAAAGGCCUACCAAGGCGACGAUCCGUAACUGGUCUGAGAGGAUGAUCAGUCACACUGGAACUGAGACACGGUCCAGACUCCUACGGGAGGCAGCAGUGGGGAAUAUGGGACAAUGGGCGAAAGCCUGAUCCAGCCAGGCCGCGUGUGUGAAGAAGGUCUGCGGAUUGUAAAGCACUUUAAGUUGGGAGGAAGGGCAGUAAGUUAAUACCUGGCUGUUUGGACGUUACCAACAGAAUAAGCACCGGCUAACUUCGU